This is a long non-coding RNA of Acipenser ruthenus (sterlet), 901 nucleotides long. RefSeq lists it as uncharacterized. NCBI's taxonomy places the organism in Eukaryota, Metazoa, Chordata, Actinopteri, Acipenseriformes, Acipenseridae. The transcript is spliced from 3 exons. The record is from RefSeq and is a predicted model, not a curated record.
AUGUAAUGAAAUUAUCAAUGUUCUUGAAUUAAUUAUGAACAUGAUUAAGAAAACUAAAAUCUCAGGAGCCAAGUUCUCAUUACCCAUGCAGUCUUAGGGAUUGCUUUCAUUCAGUGAGGGGAAAAGGCUUUGAGCAGACCCACUUUUGCAUUUCCCUUUCAUUGUUUUAUUACCUUGUUUAAUGUGUUGACUUUUCUUGUUUAACCUCGCACUCAUUUAACUAUUUUCUUCACUAUGCCUACCUAACAUUAUUUUGGGCACCCUAUUCCCACAAAGAACACCCGUGUUAAGAGGCCUGUGGGAGAGGAGACUGUUUUACCCUUUUCCAGUUCAGCAGACGAUGGUUGGCUGAAUUCUAUCAUUCAAGGAAUAGGAAGCCCUCUCACAUUACCCAGCAGCUGAAGGGACAGAUCUAUUUACUUCAAGGAGUUAAUUGAUUAUGCUGAGUUCACCUGAUGCCAGUCACCCUGCCGCAAGCAAAUAUUUGCUAUUAAUUAGGCAGCUGGAAACCAGAACUGGGAAAGAAGAUGAGAAUUGAAGACAUACAAGCCGCUUCUUCCUUUACCUCUUCCCUCACCAUUAAUUACAUCUACGGAGGCUCAGUUUCAAAUCUGGUGUUUGUUUCAUUUUUUUUUACUUUUACACUGAACUGUUGUUACAUUAUUUACAGUAGUUAUCAAUGCUUCAUUUCUAAAAUAUUAUUUUUAAUUAGACAAUGCAGGUGCUGCUGGGUUUUCAUGAGGCAUGAUUUAUGCUAUUUGCUAGUAACACAUUUUUUUGUUAGUAAAUAUUGUUUUUACCUUUCAGUAAAUGUGAUAAAUGGUGUACUGUGUUUUCUUUUAUUUAUUUUUUUAGUAAUGUAGUAGCUAAAUGAUAUACAGUAUAUACUGUUUGUGUACAA